RNAcentral lists this long non-coding RNA (769 nucleotides) under Lathyrus oleraceus (garden pea). RNAcentral's name for it is "Pisum sativum (pea) long non-coding RNA (PSAT_LNC019897)". Lineage: Eukaryota; Viridiplantae; Streptophyta; Magnoliopsida; Fabales; Fabaceae. The record is from RNAcentral.
UAUUUUUAGAUAAUGCAUAAUAUUUGAAGGAUUACAUUAUGAAAAAUAUAUUUUAAAUGGUUGCAAACACUUAGAGUAUACAAAACAACAUUUUAAAUUAAUUUAAUAAAAUUUAUUCUCUUAAAAAUUUUGUGUGGUUAUGGCUGUUACUUUUAUGCUUAUCCUUCUGAAUCCCAAACCUUGCAAAAACCCUAGUAGAUAACAUCAACAAGGGUGAUAUCGUCGAUGAGGAAAGCAGAACCUUAAGUGCUAGGGUUUUGAAUUACAUUUAAGACAAAAGUGACAGGUUUAUGAAAGUGUUGUUUUGAUUCAUCAAUAGAUGCAAUAAUAAGUUAGCCCACUCUUUAGCUAGAUAUGCCACUAAGGCCCAAACCAAAUGUGGAUGGAGGAAUGAGGCCCAAUUCAUGUAAGCUGGUUUUAGUUUUAAAAAAAAACUAAUAUUAGUCACACAUUUUUUUUUCAUGUAUCACUCAAAAUUAUUUGUCUCAUGUUUUUUAUACUUAUCAGUGACAAAUAUUUGUCCAAUAUAUUUUUAGUAUAUCGGUCUAAAAUGUUUAUAUAGUAUUUUUUUCAUAUAUUUAUCAGUAGUAAAUACAAGCAUCUUAUGUUUCUUAAUAUUAAGGCUUAAUUCAUAUUUUGGUCCCAUAAUUUAAUUUAUUGUUUCGCUUUGACCCCUUAGUUAAAAACGGUUACAUUAUAGUCCCUUAAAAUGAUUCUGUAAGUCAAAUAGAUCUAUUCCGUUAAAUUUUUCAGUAAAAAAACGUUAACU